CGCAAUGGGCGAAAGCCUGAUGCAGCGACGCCGCGUGCGGGAUGAAGGCCUUCGGGUUGUAAACCGUUUUUAUGAGGGAAGAAUUUUGACGGUACCUCAUGAAUAAGAGGUUGCUGACUCUGUGCCAGCAGCAGCGGUAAUACAGAGACCUCGAGCGUUAUCCGGAAUCAUUGGGCGUAAAGCGUGCCGAUCGGCGGCUUGGAAAGUCUGAGGUAAAAUCCAGAGGCUUAAAUUCUGGCUUGCCUUGGAAACUUCCAAACUUGAGGGGCAAAGAGGGGCUUGGAACGAUCGGGGUAGCAGUGAAAUGCGUUGAUAUCGUCCGGAACCCCGCUAGCGAGGGCAGAGCACUGGGUGCCCCCUCUCGCGUGGAGGCCGAAAGCGU
Molecule: ribosomal RNA, 382 nt
Filed under: uncultured organism
Description: bacterial SSU rRNA
Rfam family: Bacterial small subunit ribosomal RNA
Source: RNAcentral